UGUUCCUACGGGACGCAGCAGUGGGGAAUAUUGCACAAUGGGGGGAACCCUGAUGCAGCGACGCCGCGUGAGCGAAGAAGUAUCUCGGUACGUAAAGCUCUAUCAGCAGGGAAGAAAAAAAGUCUUUGGCUUUGGACGGUACCUGACUAAGAAGCCCCGGCUACCUACGUGCCAGCAGCCGCGGUAAUACGUAGGGGGCAAGCGUUAUCCGGAUUUACUGGGGGUAAAGGGAGCGUAGACGGCAGCGCAAGUCUGGAGCGAAAUGCCGGGGCUGAACCCCGGAACUGCUUUGGAGACUGUGCAGG
RNAcentral lists this ribosomal RNA (305 nucleotides) under uncultured bacterium. Its description in RNAcentral is "partial 16S ribosomal RNA". It matches the Rfam family "Bacterial small subunit ribosomal RNA", at positions 334 to 641 of the family's 1533-position model. The record is from RNAcentral.